Molecule: ribosomal RNA, 698 nt
Filed under: uncultured bacterium
Lineage: Bacteria
Description: bacterial SSU rRNA
Rfam family: Bacterial small subunit ribosomal RNA
Source: RNAcentral
GAUUGCAUCGAAACUGCAGAUCUUGAGUGAUGAGAAGCAUAGUGGAAUCCUAGUGUAGCGGUAAAAUGCGGUAGAUAAUUCGGAGGAAACACCAGUGGCGAAGGCGGCUUUGCUGGGGUCUAACUGACGUUGAGGCUUGAAAAGUGUGGGGAGCAAACAAGAAUUAGAUACCCUUGUAGUCCACACUGUACACGAAUGAUUACUAGGUGGUGGGGGUUCUGACCCUCUCCGUGCGAGAGAUUACGCCAAUAUAAUAUCCACCUUGGGAAGUGCGGCCACCAUGGUUAAACUCAAGAGGAGUUGAGGGGGGCGCGCACACAGUGGGGAUAUGGUGGAAAAUAAGAAACACGAAGAACAUCAUCACGUCUUGACACCUGCCUAAUGAAGCAGAGAUGCAUCAUCUGCUCUCCUUGGAGAGACGAGACAGCUGGUGCAUCGUUGUCGUCAGCUCGUGUCGUGAGAUGUUGGGUUAAGUCCCGCAACGAGCGCAACCCUUGCCAUUAGUUGCUACGCAAGAGCACUCUAAUGGGACCGCUACCGACAAGGUGGAGGAAGGUGGGGACGACGUCAAAUCAUCAUGCCCCUUAUGACCUGGGCUACACACGUAAUACAAUGGCCGUUAACAGAGGGAAGCUACCCCGCGAGGGCAAGCGAAUCCCUAAAAGUUGUCUCAGUUCGGAUUGCAGGCUGCAACUCGC